Long non-coding RNA from Papaver somniferum (opium poppy), 2448 nucleotides. RefSeq lists it as uncharacterized. The record is from RefSeq and is a predicted model, not a curated record. Lineage: Eukaryota; Viridiplantae; Streptophyta; Magnoliopsida; Ranunculales; Papaveraceae. The transcript is spliced from 2 exons.
AAGCUCAUUUAGUUUUUUCUCUGCCUGAAAUAGAGAUGGCGGCGAUGCUGUCUUAGAAGUUAGAGAAUGAGAGAAAUUCACUGAUGGAAGUGGAGAUCGAGAAGAUUUUUAAAACAAGAGUUGGUCUGAGUUUCACUCCGUUUUUUUUAUUCAGAUGAAGAAUUAGUGAAGAUUGACAGAGGAGUUAGGGUUUGUAGGGUACUUGAUUCUGUAAAGAAAUUAAUGGAGAAGCUCUGUUGAUUCGAUGUGGUAAUUGAAUUGAAGAGAGAAAUUAAGAUUUUGGGUUUAAUUGUGAACUGCAGCCAGUAAUGGAAUUGAUGAAAAAUCAACAAGAAUUACAGAUUUGUUGGGGUUGAAUUUGAAUUCAGGUGAGCAAGGAAGAUGGGUUUUCAGCCGAAUCGAUACUGGAUAUGAAGGAUAGAAGGAAUUUGUUGAUGUUUACUCGCUGUUGAUAUUUGUGACGAAUUUAGGGUUUGUGGUUGUUCAAAGGGUUUCUGAAUUUGAGAUUUAGAAUCAAGGAAGAAGAAAAUGGUGACGAUAAACAACCAAAUUCAGGUGGUAUGUGCUGUUGAGGGUGAUUUCCAAUGGUUUAUGGAGUUGAGCUGGGUUUGUGUUAGAUUCUGUGAAAUUACAGUGAGAAAAUGGCUUUCAAUGAUGAACAGGGUGAAGAAAUGGGUUUCUGCUGUAGCUGGAGAUGAAAUUCUGGAACUCAAAGGCAUUGAAGCUGAUCUGAUGUGCAGAAUAUGAUGGUGCUGUGAGCUGGUGUUGAGCUGAACUGACAAGAAUUGAGCUGCAGUUGGAGGUGGAAUAGUACCGGUGGUAAAUGAAGUGUAGAUGCUGCAUAAGCAGAUGGAUUAUUGCAAUGGAUGAAUACAUGGUUUGAAUGUUAGUGGCUCGAGUAUGAGGACCAGGAGUUGACGCAGAAGAACAAGAAGGGUUAGAGCUCAUUCUUGAGCUGAGACAUUUGUUGCAGGUCAAAAGCUACAGUUGUGCAUUGGCUGAGAGUAUACACAAUGGAAGAUGGCAGGGAUUGAAAUGCAGAUAUGGUGUUGGAUGAGAUGCUGAUGCUAUUGGUGUUGUGUAUGGAAGUUACAGGAAACAUGAAAUUGAAGAUUUGGAGAGGCUGUAAAGAAACUCAGUAGAAGUAAUUGUGGUUGUAAGUCAAGAAGAACAAGAAGCUUCUAGUGCUAGUUGCUGAGAACUUGAUGGUUUCUGAGGAGAGAAUAUGGAUCUCAGGUAAAUGUGAUGGUUGCAGCUGGCGAAGCAAUGGAAGAAAUGGUGCUGCUAAGAUGGUGCUGGUUAUGUGCGAGACCGCAGGUGGUGGUUGAAAUUGAAUGACUGAGAUAUAGGAAUGGAUGCAAUUACAGGUUCUGGUUGAGUUUGAGCUGCUGAUCUUGUUCAUGAAUGUUAGUUGUUGUUGUUGCAAUAGAUUACAGUAGGAUAUUGAUUUCAAGGCUGGUGUUGUUACAUGAUGUACAUGGAAGAUAUCGGGUGUGCAGUUACAAGUGAUUUUGUGCCAGUGAUGAUCAGUGAACAAUGAAGAAUUAAAGGGUUUGUUUGAGUCUGAAUUUGCGGGAACUGAAAUGGCAGCUAUUAAUGGUAUUGAAAGGAGGUGCAAGAAGAAGCAUACAGUGUAUUGAUAAUUGAAGCUGCAGGAUGUGGGGAUAGUGAAAUUGCAAUGAAGGAAUUUGUGCUGCUGUAGGUAGAGCAUGGGUGUUGAGAUGCAGAUGGCAAGGUUGUGCAGAUUUGCGGCAUUGCAGGGAAUGGAGCUGAGUAUGUAUUGCCAGGGAUGUGGUGUCUGAAGCAGUGGUGAUGCUGCAAUAGGGUGGAAACCCCAGGUGUUAUGCAUUUGCAGUUGUGCAGAAGUUGGAAGAAAGAAUUGAGUAAGGGUUGUGAUGGUGUUGUGUUUGAAACUGUGGCUGCUAAGAAUGACCAGCCAUCAUGUCCGGGUUUGAGUAGUGUUGCACCAUGAUGGUGCAACACAGGAGUAGGCCGUGGCAAAAUGGCUGUGGCCUGGCAACCUAGCCUACUCAGCUGAGUUAGCUUCUGUCUCAGGUCUGACUACAUGUAGCUGACAUCACUGAGUUAACUCGAUUAUUCAUCCUGACUCGGCUGAGCUUUGACCGAGUUGACCCGUUUUACUUUGCCGGUCACCUGAUCCCAAUUUCCGGCGAAUCUUCGGCCAACUUCCGACCACUUUUCAGCGACAAUUUGGCAGAGUUUCUACAUGGGUUCAUCUCGCUUUUGGGCCACAUGGAUUUUCAUCUAAUGGGCUUUGAAGUUUUGACCUAGUUUUGGAAGGGAGAAAAGCUACGAAAAGGAAAAGUUUUCUACAACUUUGGGUAUCACGUAUUAUUUUCUACUUGGAGCUUUGGAGAGAACUUCUUCUAGGGUUUGCUUUCGUUUGUUUUCAUCUUCUUUAUUUUAUUGAUUAUGAUUAUGAUGAAC